This 76-nucleotide transfer RNA is filed under the name Geobacillus stearothermophilus. Its description in RNAcentral is "tRNA-Gln". It matches the Rfam family "tRNA". From Rfam's summary of the family: Transfer RNA (tRNA) molecules are approximately 80 nucleotides in length. Their secondary structure includes four short double-helical elements and three loops (D, anti-codon, and T loops). Further hydrogen bonds mediate the characteristic L-shaped molecular structure. tRNAs have two regions of fundamental functional importance: the anti-codon, which is responsible for specific mRNA codon recognition, and the 3' end, to which the tRNAs corresponding amino acid is attached (by aminoacyl-tRNA synthetases). tRNAs cope with the degeneracy of the genetic code in two manners: having more than one tRNA (with a specific anti-codon) for a particular amino acid; and 'wobble' base-pairing, i.e. permitting non-standard base-pairing at the 3rd anti-codon position. Lineage: Bacteria; Bacillati; Bacillota; Bacilli; Caryophanales; Anoxybacillaceae. The record is from RNAcentral.
CUGGGCCAUAGCCAAGCGGUAAGGCAACGGACUUUGACUCCGUGAUGCGCUGGUUCGAAUCCAGCUGGCCCAGCCC